UUUUAAAAGAACCUAUUCAAAAUAGAGCAUGGUAUAUUAGGACAUAUUCAGCCUGAUCAAACAAAUGUUGGUUCUUAUUAGCAGUUGUUUCUUCGUCGUCAUAAUAAGUACGAAAUUUAAUGACACUAUUAAACAUGAUAGCCUACCUGGAAAUGAUGUACUGUGCGAUCUCUUUUUGACAUUUUCAAACUAAGAAUACUUUUGUGAGUGGCACGAGUCGCUAUGUCAAAACCUUUCCACUCCCGAUUCACACUUUUUUGGCGGAACUCUUCGGGUGUAAUAUAAUAUGUAAAUAAUGCGAGUGUAGCCAAUACAACUUGUUGCUUCGCACUCUUAAUAAUUCAAAAUGCGAUUGGAGGUUACUGUUUCAUUAUAGUUUUUGUCAUUAAAUUUUCUCGGAUCAAAAGGUUGUUUACAGGUAAACUCGACGGGGGGCGGGGCAUGGAGCCACUGAACACCGAGUCUCGAAGAAUUGGGGUUAAAAAAGACUGAUUUGCAUACAGCUGGUUUAUAAAUACUAGAAACAGAGCCAUAAACAUUUAUGGGUAAACAUUUAAUCGUCUGAAUCUUAGACAAACAAAGGUUUCAAGGUAAAACAAGAUGGCGGCGGUCGCGAUCAGCUCACCUGCUGACGAAGGUCCUUGAGGUUGGAGUCCAAGGUCUUGAUGGUGGCUUCACAUCGAUUCACCUGGAAAUAGAACAGGAAUCUAUAGAUGGACACUUAUAGAAAGAAGACUAAAAGCGCAGAGUAACUCCGAUAAUAAGGGCACUUUCGGAAUAUUGCUUAUUCUAAAGAGCAUAAAAGUACAAUGAAAACCCUGUUAAUCAGGACACUUUUAUAAUCUCACUUAUUUUCUAGAAGCUAGAGAGGUAGGACCCCGUUAACAAGGACAUCUUCUAGAUCUAAAUUAUUUACAGGAGACAAGAAGCACAACAGAACCCGUUAAUAAGAACACUAACUAACUAAGCUAUCUUUUUUCUGUUAUUUAAAAUAAAAAAUGGUGAUGUGAGCAUUAGUUUAGCUAGCCUUCUUUCUCCAGCCACGUCCCGAUACAAUACUCGAAAUUACCAUCCUAACAAUUACCGCCUUUUUUCCACUCACAACCAAAAUUAUUACAGGAAUUCGUAUUUCCCCAGAACUGUCAAGCUUUGGAAUAGUCUUCCUUCACUUAUGAAAUCUUGCACUACGCUUUCGUCUUUCAGAAAUCAGCUGACAACUCACUAUUUAGAGAAACUUGCUUUUUACCAACCUCCAUAAUUUCAUAGAGCUUAAAUUUAUGUAAUUCAAUUUUUAUUUUCGUUUUAGAAUUUUUAUUGUGUGUAAUUUGUUGGGAAAGAAUUUCAAUUGGGGCUUACGCCCUGUUUUUCUUCUCCCGUCACAUUGUUUCUUAUUUUCUUUAUUUUGUUUAUUUCCUAUUGUAAACCGUAGUAUUUUUGUGUGACAAAGCCAAUAAACUAAACUAAACUA
Nematostella vectensis (starlet sea anemone) is the source of this 1468-nucleotide long non-coding RNA. RefSeq lists it as uncharacterized. The record is from RefSeq and is a predicted model, not a curated record. The transcript is spliced from 2 exons. Lineage: Eukaryota; Metazoa; Cnidaria; Anthozoa; Actiniaria; Edwardsiidae.